GAUGAACGCUGGCGGCGUGCCUAAUACAUGCAAGUCGAGCGAACGGACGAGAAGCCUGCUUCUCUGAUGUUAGCGGCGGACGGGUGAGUAACACGUGGAUAACCUACCUAUAAGACUGGGAUAACUUCGGGAAACCGGAGCUAAUACCGGAUGAUAUUUUGAACCGCAUGGUUCAAAAGUGAAAGACGGUCUUGCUGUCACUUAUAGAUGGAUCCGCGCUGCAUUAGCUAGUUGGUAAGGUAACGGCUUACCAAGGCAACGAUGCAUAGCCGACCUGAGAGGGUGAUCGGCCACACUGGAACUGAGACACGGUCCAGACUCCUACGGGAGGCAGCAGUAGGGAAUCUUCCGCAAAGGGCGAAAGCCUGACGGAGCAACGCCGCGUGAGUGAUGAAGGUCUUCGGAUCGUAAAACUCUGUUAUUAGGGAAGAACAUAUGUGUAAGUAACUGUGCACAUCUUGACGGUACCUAAUCAGAAAGCCACGGCUAACUACGUG
This 497-nucleotide ribosomal RNA is filed under the name uncultured bacterium. RNAcentral describes it as "partial 16S ribosomal RNA". It matches the Rfam family "Bacterial small subunit ribosomal RNA", at positions 28 to 507 of the family's 1533-position model. The record is from RNAcentral.